RNAcentral lists this ribosomal RNA (437 nucleotides) under uncultured Oscillospiraceae bacterium. RNAcentral's name for it is "bacterial SSU rRNA". It matches the Rfam family "Bacterial small subunit ribosomal RNA", at positions 341 to 792 of the family's 1533-position model. Lineage: Bacteria; Bacillati; Bacillota; Clostridia; Eubacteriales; Oscillospiraceae. The record is from RNAcentral.
ACGGGAGGCAGCAGUGGGGACUAUUGGGCAAUGGGCGAAAGCCUGACCCAGCAACGCCGCGUGAAGGAAGCAGGUCUUCGGAUUGUAAACUUCUUUUAUGAGGGACGAAGGACGUGACGGUACCUCAUGAAUAAGCCACGGCUAACUACGUGCCAGCAGCCGCGGUAAUACGUAGGUGGCAAGCGUUAUCCGGAUUUACUGGGUGUAAAGGGCGCGGAGGCGGGGAUGCAAGUCAGAUGUGAAAUCUAUGGGCUUAACUCAUAAACUGCAUGUGAAACUGUAUUUCUGGAGUGCUGGAGAGGUAGAUGGAAUUCCUUGUGUAGCGGUGAAAUGCGUAGAUAUAAGGAAGAACACCAGUGGCGAAGGCGAUCUACUGGACAGUAACUGACGCUGAGGCGCGAAAGCGUGGGGAGCAAACAGGAUUAGAUACCCUGGUA